GGAAUUAAUACUGGGGAGGGGAGGGAGAAGGAGUGUCAGGUGUUGAGUGGGCAAGUCAGACCAGCUGUGGGAAUUACAGUUAUUGUCACUGGAGACAACACAGCCCUGACCUCCAGUAUAAGCUGCUGGAAGAUAUUAACACCUAAUUAUCAAGCCAGGGGUGCAUCUUACACCUUAAUCACUGGUGAGGUGAGACUGACAAAAAAGAGGAAGGGAGGUGUUUUCCAUGUUCCUUUCAGCAAGCAUCCAUCCUCUAACAGGGGGUCAUCACUUGCAGCAAAUGACAAUUUCCUUUUAGCCCUUUCAGUCUAUAGAAAAGCACAGUAACUUCAUUUGCUAGCAGGUAGGCAGUGGAGGUGAGAAUCGGAUUGAUCUGAAAUUGACCCUGAGGUCACUGCCUCCUUUAAAUUGGGUGCUACAGACAAAGUUUCUUUUCUUCUUCUCUGGCUCCUGCCAGCAGCCAAGCAGAGUCCUCAGUCAUUGGGGCGGGAGGUGGGGAGAGUGUUAGCAAUUAUUUAAAGGGAUUCUGACACCAGGGUUGAACCCCUACCCCAAACUUAAUCCAAGUGGAGACCUUUUUUUUUUUUUUUUUUAACCGAUGGUGGUUAAUUAAAGGGGCCUCCCCCCAUGGUGUGCCUCUGGCUUGUUUAUAUUUUAAAAUGAGGUUCAUUCCUGAUGCACAAGAAAUGGCAGGGGGGAAGCUGACAGUCGGGGUCUCUUACUGGGCUGACUUGAAGAAAUAGGGAAUAGAAUUUCCUGUUUCCUUUUACAUUUUUUCUUCCUUAUUUCACCCCGCCCCCCCCAACUCCCCCACUUCAAAGUCCUUUCAAAGCAUCUUGGGGUGCAUAGAUACGCCUGACAGUGCUGGAAAUGCUGCACUGCUUUUCAGAAGGCCAGGGGACUCUGCUGGGCACGCAGGCCUGGCCUCGCUCUCCGCCCAGCGGUGAGGGUCGCCAAGAGGGAGCAGAAAUCCCUUUCACCGAUUUUGAUCUUCUGGACCGCAGUUGAGAAGCGCUGUCUCGUUCCUUCGCUUCAGUGGGUAGUGCCUACUGGCGGUUCUGUCCUGAUGCCCAAAGACUAUUGCGUUAUUCAUUUUCCCCAGACUUUCCCUGCCCCCUUUUUUUCUCCUUCUCUUUUUCUCCGUUUAAAGUCUCAAAGCGAAGCAGUUCCUCACCACUGCGUCGUAGAAGGAAAGCGCACGUGCUUGUUUGGAGAUCUGGACCAGAGCUCUCCCUUCCAGGGAAGGAGCAGUGGUUUGGGACGGGACAGGCUUUCUGGAAGCCUCGGGGCUGCUGGGCUGCCCGGGAGGAGACCUCCCAGCAACGGCUGGAGAUCCAUCACACCUGCGCAAGCAAGGCCCCGGGGCAUCACUUUCUUUCCCAGGAGGCAAGGCCUUCCCACGUGUUUCCCACGUGCUCAGCGCUCUGCUGGUCCAGUGAAGCCCGUGGACCCAAAAUGCGCUGCUUUCAGAGUCUUCCCCAGCUGAGUUGUUGGGGAUAAAAUUCUUGGUAAAAAAUGGGAUGCGUUUGAAACACUCUGGUCUCCAUGGGGACCCUGGUUAAUUAAGAUGUUACCUCUGUUGGCGCUCCAAUUUGUUUCCCCUACCUGACCAGCCCGGUGGAAAACGCCCCAAGGUUGGUGUAACCAAAUGGCACGUGACCCGUACGUGCGGUAAACCCGCCCUACACGUGUGUGGGCGGAGAACCAGCUCCACUCCUAAACUCUGCUGAGAGGUCUUGAGUUGCAGCGUUUGGGCCUCGAAAUCGGGUUCCUGCUCCAGAGCAAGGGGUUCCCUAGUGCUCCAGAACUUGGAGCUUUCAGCAGCGGCAAGCACUGUGACGGUCACCGGCUCCCCACAGGAAAAAAAAAAAAAAACCUUUCCCCAUCUUUUAGUCCAGGAUUCGAUAAUGGAGGAUCCUAGUGUAUGGCUCCACGUGUUGGCACGAGAAGACAGGGCCUGAAGAUCUCUCGGCUACACGCUCACCAUUGAAAUAUGGCCAGGCUUGAGGAGUACCGUAUCCUGACGUCUCAGAAGCUGGACACUGAGAUAGAGGACACUGCUGAGUAGCGUGCUUUCUCUCCUGGUCACAGAGGGUUAUGGAAAUGGGGGGCAGGGGGAGGAAGUAAAGGGAAAGUGGGGAGGGGCUGCCCCAUCCCCUCUGUGUCAGAUGCAAACACUCUGCACGUGCACCCUCGUCAUCUUCGCAUCAAGCCUUCCGUGUAGGUGCCUUUCUCACAUUGCACAUGAGGAAGGCAAGAAUCGAGAAGGCAACUCCACCAGGGCGAUGUUGUUUACACACCACAGUGACAGAACAGAGUCCAGUCCAGUCC
Long non-coding RNA from Bos taurus (domestic cattle), 2331 nucleotides. The record is from Ensembl. NCBI's taxonomy places the organism in Eukaryota, Metazoa, Chordata, Mammalia, Artiodactyla, Bovidae.